CUCUUAACGACAACGGAGGCAUGUUGUUUAAGAUAGAUUUCUUCACCAGAUGCAUGAUUAUUUUUCAAGCUGAGUCUAUGUACAAAUAUAACUUUGUUUUUUAGCCAGAUCAUUGCAAAUUGAGAUGAUUUUUAAUAAAAGAUGUGAGCUAAUUAUGAUCAUUUUCACGAAGGAGUACCUUAACUUCAGUCUGUCCAAGAUCAAUAUAUGCUCUUCUUAAAACUACUUUGUUUUCCUAAAAAAAAACCUAGGAAAUCGUUCACUGCUCAGAUGUUAAAGAGGACAAACAAAAACCUUUUAUAAGCCUGCAGCUACCCCAGCAGAGCUUCACAAGUGCUCACAGCCUCCACUGAAUGUGCUGCUUGUCCGUGUCUAUCUUUCCUUGGGAAGGAGACACAGCAGUCCCUCAGAGCACCGCUUCCUUGUGAUCUCAGGCUGUGAUGCAUGAAAGCAUACAGGAGAUUAAGGCCCACAACAUUUCUGUACUGGCUUAAGGAGGCUGGAUGGUUCCAGAGGGGCAACCAAGCCAGUCUUUUUUGCU
Molecule: long non-coding RNA, 541 nt
Organism: Cygnus atratus (black swan)
Lineage: Eukaryota; Metazoa; Chordata; Aves; Anseriformes; Anatidae
Exons: 3
Source: RefSeq, a predicted model, not a curated record